Molecule: long non-coding RNA, 578 nt
Filed under: Lupinus angustifolius (narrow-leaved blue lupine)
Lineage: Eukaryota; Viridiplantae; Streptophyta; Magnoliopsida; Fabales; Fabaceae
Description: long non-coding RNA (LANG_LNC003409)
Source: RNAcentral
ACUCACCAAAACGUGAUUUAAUUAAGCAGGCAAGGUACUAAAUAUCUAAAGGAUUCAGAAACCAACAAGAAGAAAAAGAAAAGAAAGAUAUGCUAUCCUUCUCCCUCACGGGUAGCAAAAGGGGUAAAUCCCUAAAAGUAAAUGGGAUAAAAAUCCCUAAAACCAAAGUCCCACUUUUCUUCUCAAUUCCUUUCUUUUCACGCAGCAGGGAUGGCCAUGGCAUGGAAUCCGUUUUCUUCCUUCUUUCCAAUCGGUAGUCUUCAUGGCGACUAAAGGUUGUUGAAGAUGGAAGCCGAAUUGAUCCAGCCGGAAGAACCUAUUUCAGUGACGGUUCGUGGUGGGUUGCGGUAGUUCGCGAUGGUUGGGAUUGAGAUGCAUUCACGGUGGUUCAUGUUGGUUCGGUUUUCACUCCCGGUGGCUUAAACUCGAUAAAAAAAUUAUUCACUAAUAGUUUUUAAAGUUGGUGAUUACCUUCCAUAAAAAACACGUAUAGAAGCACCGCCCAAAAGUAUUGUCAUUAAAAACUAUAGAUUUAGCAUGUUCUAGAGUUUGAUAUGCGGUAGGAAAAUAAAAUAGGG